ACCCGCUGAACUUAAGCAUAUCAAUAAGCGGAGGAAAAGAAACCAACAGGGAUUGCCCUAGUAACGGCGAGUGAAGCGGCAACAGCUCAAAUUUGAAAUCUGGCCCUCUCAGGGUCCGAGUUGUAAUUUGUAGAGGGUGCUUUGGCGUUGGCUGUGGUCUAAGUUCCUUGGAACAGGACGUCGCAGAGGGUGAGAAUCCCGUAUGUGGCCGCCAGCCUCCGCCGUGUAAAGCCCCUUCGACGAGUCGAGUUGUUUGGGAAUGCAGCUCUAAAUGGGAGGUAAAUUUCUUCUAAAGCUAAAUAUUGGCCAGAGACCGAUAGCGCACAAGUAGAGUGAUCGAAAGAUGAAAAGCACUUUGGAAAGAGAGUCAAAAAGCACGUGAAAUUGUUGAAAGGGAAGCGCUUGCAGCCAGACUUGCCCGCAGUUGCUCAUCCAGGCUCCCGCCUGGUGCACUCUUCUGCGGGCAGGCCAGCAUCAGUCCGGGCGGUUGGAUAAAUGCCUGCUAAAUGUACCUCUCCUCGGGGAGGACUUAUAGGGUAGGCGGCAUACAACCAGCCCGGAUUGAGGUCCGCGCUUCGGCUAGGAUGCUGGCGUAAUGGCUGU
RNAcentral lists this ribosomal RNA (603 nucleotides) under uncultured fungus. RNAcentral describes it as "eukaryotic LSU rRNA". It matches the Rfam family "Eukaryotic large subunit ribosomal RNA", at positions 23 to 641 of the family's 3401-position model. Lineage: Eukaryota; Fungi. The record is from RNAcentral.